Molecule: long non-coding RNA, 516 nt
Organism: Cervus elaphus (red deer)
Lineage: Eukaryota; Metazoa; Chordata; Mammalia; Artiodactyla; Cervidae
Exons: 2
Source: RefSeq, a predicted model, not a curated record
UGAGUCCGGAACAAGAUGGGAGAUUCAGAAUCAAGGUUCAGAGAACCAGAGGACCUGAGAAAAAGCAUGGGAGGCAAAGCCAACCCUUCCUGUCUGCCAUUGGUUCAGAAACUAGGUUGAGGCCUUUCCAGGCACGAGUCACAGGGGCCCUCACGUCCCAUGCACAGGCCAGGGUCAGAGGAGGCGGCUUGGAGCUCAAGAGAGCACUGUGGCUGUUGGUGUGUCCACGGGAACAUGACCCUCACGUGCUCUUUGUGUGUCUGUGGGCGUCUGAUUAACGCCGCUCCCCUCAGUUUCCUGGUCUGUGAAAUGGGGGUGCUCGCAGCUCCUGGCUUCGGGGUUCUGGAACUUGACGCUUUGCACCGUGCUCUGCACAUAAGAAGACAUAUUGGGAAUCGUGAUGCUUCAAACUUGCCAUGUGAAAACGGAGGUGUUCUGUUUUCUCUUUAGUUCACCUUUUUUUUCUUUGCCUUUGUGGGCACUGUUUUAUUAAAUCAUCAAUGCCUUUGGACCACA